This 447-nucleotide ribosomal RNA is filed under the name uncultured organism. RNAcentral describes it as "partial 16S ribosomal RNA". It matches the Rfam family "Bacterial small subunit ribosomal RNA", at positions 335 to 798 of the family's 1533-position model. The record is from RNAcentral.
ACUCCUGCGGGAGGCAGCAGUGGGGAAUAUUGGACAAUGGGCGCAAGCCUGAUCCAGCCAUGCCGCGUGAGUGAUGAAGGCCCUAGGGUUGUAAAGCUCUUUCACCGGUGAAGAUAAUGACGGUAACCGGAGAAGAAGCCCCGGCUAACUUCGUGCCAGCAGCCGCGGUAAUACGAAGGGGGCUAGCGUUGUUCGGAUUUACUGGGCGUAAAGCGCACGUAGGCGGACUAUUAAGUCAGGGGUGAAAUCCCGGGGCUCAACCCCGGAACUGCCUUUGAUACUGGUAGUCUUGAGUUCGAGAGAGGUGAGUGGAAUUCCGAGUGUAGAGGUGAAAUUCGUAGAUAUUCGGAGGAACACCAGUGGCGAAGGCGGCUCACUGGCUCGAUACUGACGCUGAGGUUCGAAAGCGUGGGGAACAAACAGGAUUAGAUACCCUUGUAGUCCCAU